Molecule: long non-coding RNA, 1585 nt
Organism: Osmerus eperlanus (European smelt)
Lineage: Eukaryota; Metazoa; Chordata; Actinopteri; Osmeriformes; Osmeridae
Exons: 4
Source: RefSeq, a predicted model, not a curated record
UCUUAUGUGUUCAUUGCCAUCCUUAAGAGUUGCUAAAGUGUUAUUUCAUAUAUAUAUAUAUUUAUGUUUUUUUUUUUUAAGAAUGACAAUUACAUUUAUCUAGAUAAACUAUGUUGGGCCUGCUGAACCUAUACUUCUUCCACAGAUACUGGUCAGGGAACCAUUACUUCUGUCUCUGAAGACCCUUGGGGCUGGUGGGAUAAACGCUCUUUGUAUAAUCUGAGCACCUUCAUCCACCACAGGGUUGUCAAAGAACGGAUACGCCAUAAUUGAUUGUAACUUGUCUAGACGCUCUGCUUAGUUUCUAAAUCCUUAUUUUAUGUCAAUUAACCAAUGGCUUUUGAAAACAAAAGUGACAUUAUUUCUUAACUUGUUUAUUUAAAUUAAUAUAUUUUUUGGAGAUGAAGUAAACAUGUAGCUAAAUCAUUAAUGUCUGCACUUCAAAAAGUCUGAAUUUACGUUUCCGAACACGGACUAAAGUGGUUUGCGCGCAGGAAUUUACUCGACGGAACUGUCUUUUGAGAUUCUGUUUCCGCCUGUUUGAAAUUAUUUGCAACACAUUUUAGUUUAGCUUGACUUUUAGCCUGACACGGAUCAGGCUAGUUCCGAAGUAUAAGUUACCUUGGUUACGUAGCUAGAACUAAAAUAAGCCACCUUAAUGGAACGGAACUCUCGCUAAAGUAAGUGAGACUUGGCGAGAUAAGUCUAGCUUUUCCUUAAUCGACGUUGAUGGAACACCCCCCUGGGGGCUAAUGCACAAAAGUAGAAUAAAGAUAUCCAGGAUAACUGAAAAAGCGCAGCUUGAUUUAGUGUUAUCCACUCAUCGCGGCUGAAUCGGUUGCACGUUUGCCAAGCCAGGAUGAGAAGGUGGCGCUAUGUCAAUCCAGGUGUACAUAGUUGGGAUAAGUGCACCUUCACGGAUUUCUUAAAUAGACCAUGGUAUCGAUCACAAAUUCACUGAUGCAGAAAUGGAGAAGACGAGUGCAGCAUAUUUUUCACCCGCUGAGCAGAAAUUAAUAAUGGAGAUGUAUGAGGAGGUGAAGCAUAUUAUUUGCAAAAAGGGGAAUACGGCAGUCGUUAUUAAACAGCGAGAACAAGCCUGGCAGACAAUCGCUGACCGACUGAAUGCAACAAACAUGACUGGACAGAAAAGAUUGUGGCAACAAGUCAAAAUUAAAUAUAAAAACAUUUUGCAGUCUGCAGUUAAGAAGAAGGCUCAUUUUUCUGGCACUGGGGGAGGGCCACCAGCUCCAGGCUUCACCCCAGCUGAGGAAUUGGCCCUGGAUUUAAAUCAGGGAAGGCCAGUGAUGGAAGGGAUUGAGGGUGGGACAGCUACAGACUGUGUUCCACCUGCAGAAACUGCCCUCCUUAUCCAUGUGUCCGGGGACACAGUUACACUCCUGCCACCAGGCGAAGAUCCAGUGAGUAUUAUUCGUUAAAAGCACAAGGCUUGGCACAUCCUGUCAAUAAAAAGUAUAUUCAAUAUGGCAGGGGGAAGGAACUUCUGCCAUAUGGGAUGACGAGGAGACUGUGUCACUGGAUUCCAGAAGGCCUGAGGUAUCAUGUAAAUCGUAUGGAAAUGCAU